GUGGAGGCAGCAGUGGGGAAUUUUGGGCAAUGGGCGAAAGCCUGACCCAGCAACGCCGCGUGAAGGAUGAAAUCCCUCGGGAUGUAAACUUCGCAAGAACGGGAAGAAUAAGUGAGAGUUAAUAUCUCUCGCGAUGACGGUACUGUUUGUAAGCUCCGGCUAACUCCGUGCCAGCAGCCGCGGUAAUACGGGGGGAGCAAGCGUUGUUCGGAUUUACUGGGCGUAAAGGGCGCGUAGGCGGCCACCGCAAGUCGAUUGUGAAAUCUCCGGGCUUAACCCGGAAAGGUCAACCGAUACUGCGGGGCUAGAGUGCGGAAGGGGCAACUGGAAUUCUCGGUGUAGCGGUGAAAUGCGUAGAUAUCGAGAGGAACACCUGCGGCGAAGGCGGGUUGCUGGGCCGACACUGACGCUGAUGCGCGAAAGCUAGGGGAGCGAACGGGAUUAGAUACCCUCGUAC
Molecule: ribosomal RNA, 457 nt
Filed under: uncultured bacterium
Lineage: Bacteria
Description: bacterial SSU rRNA
Rfam family: Bacterial small subunit ribosomal RNA
Source: RNAcentral